RNAcentral lists this transfer RNA (75 nucleotides) under Porphyromonadaceae bacterium COT-184 OH4590. RNAcentral's name for it is "tRNA-Met". It matches the Rfam family "tRNA". From Rfam's summary of the family: Transfer RNA (tRNA) molecules are approximately 80 nucleotides in length. Their secondary structure includes four short double-helical elements and three loops (D, anti-codon, and T loops). The record is from RNAcentral. RNAcentral also lists the same sequence under 1 other name. Lineage: Bacteria; Pseudomonadati; Bacteroidota; Bacteroidia; Bacteroidales; Porphyromonadaceae.
CGCGGAGUAGAGCAGUGGUAGCUUGUCAGGCUCAUAACCUGAAGGUCGUAGGUUCGAAUCCUGCCUCCGCUACAA